GUGGAUUAGAUACCCUAGUAGUCCACGCCGUAAACGAUGAAUACUAGGUGUGGGAGGUACCAACCUUCCGUGCCGUCGUUAACACAAUAAGUAUUCCGCCUGGGGAGUACGGUCGCAAGAUUAAAACUCAAAGGAAUUGACGGGGGCCCGCACAAGCAGCGGAGCAUGUGGUUUAAUUCGAAGCAACGCGAAGAACCUUACCUAGACUUGACAUCUCCUGAAUUACCCGUAAUGGGGGAAGCUCUUCGGAGCAGGAAGACAGGUGGUGCACGGCCGUCGACAACU
Molecule: ribosomal RNA, 285 nt
Filed under: uncultured bacterium
Lineage: Bacteria
Description: partial 16S ribosomal RNA
Rfam family: Bacterial small subunit ribosomal RNA
Source: RNAcentral